This 1030-nucleotide ribosomal RNA is filed under the name Meloderma desmazieri. RNAcentral's name for it is "SSU rRNA". It matches the Rfam family "Eukaryotic small subunit ribosomal RNA", at positions 75 to 1115 of the family's 1831-position model. Lineage: Eukaryota; Fungi; Ascomycota; Leotiomycetes; Rhytismatales; Rhytismataceae. The record is from RNAcentral.
UAUACAGNNAAANUGNGAUGGCUCAUUAAUCAGUUAUUGUUUAUUUGAUAGUACCUUACUACUUGGAUAACCGUGGUAAUUCUAGAGCUAAUACAUGCUAAAAACCCCGACUUCGGAAGGGGUGUAUUUAUUAGAUAAAAAACCAAUGCCCUUCGGGGCUCCUUGGUGAUUCAUAAUAACUCAACGAAUCGCAUGGCCUUGCGCCGGCGAUGGUUCAUUCAAAUUUCUGCCCUAUCAACUUUCGAUGGUAAGGUAUUGGCUUACCAUGGUUUCAACGGGUAACGGGGUAUUAGGGUACUAUACCGGAGAGGGAGCCUGAGAAACGGCUACCACAUCCAAGGAAGGCAGCAGGCGCGCAAAUUACCCAAUCCCGACACGGGGAGGUAGUGACAAUAAAUACUGAUACAGGGCUCUUUUGGGUCUUGUAAUUGGAAUGAGUACAAUUUAAAUCCCUUAACGAGGAACAAUUGGAGGGCAAGUCUGGUGCCAGCAGCCGCGGUAAUUCCAGCUCCAAUAGCGUAUAUUAAAGUUGUUGCAGUUAAAAAGCUCGUAGUUGAACCUUGGGCCUGGCUGGCCGGUCCGCCUCACCGCGUGCACUGGUCCGGCCGGGCCUUUCCUUCUGGGGAGCCGCAUGCCCUUCACUGGGUGUGUCGGGGAACCAGGACUUUUACUUUGAAAAAAUUAGAGUGUUCAAAGCAGCCCUAUGCUCGAAUACAUUAGCAUGGAAUAAUAGAAUAGGACGUGUGGUUUUAUUUUGUUGGUUUCUAAAACCGCCGUAAUGAUUAAUAGGGAUAGUCGGGGGCGUCAGUAUUCCGUUGUCAGAGGUGAAAUUCUUGGAUUUACGGAAGACUAACUACUGCGAAAGCAUUCGCCAAGGAUGUUUUCAUUAAUCAGUGAACGAAAGUUAGGGGAUCGAAGACGAUCAGAUACCGUCGUAGUCUUAACCAUAAACUAUGCCGACUAGGGAUCGGGCGAUGUUAUCUUUUUGACUCGCUCGGCACCUUACGAGAAAUCAAAGUCUUUGGGUUCU